This 198-nucleotide ribosomal RNA is filed under the name uncultured bacterium. RNAcentral's name for it is "partial 16S ribosomal RNA". It matches the Rfam family "Bacterial small subunit ribosomal RNA", at positions 1295 to 1500 of the family's 1533-position model. The record is from RNAcentral.
GGAUUGGAGUCUGCAACCCGACUCCAUGAAGCUGGAGUCGCUAGUAAUCGCGCAUCAGCCACGGCGCGGUGAAUACGUUCCCGGGCCUUGUACACACCGCCCGUCAAGCCAUGGAAGCCGGGAGUGCCUGAAGUGUGCAACCGCAAGGAGCGUCCUAGGGUAAAACCGGUGACUGGGGCUAAGUCGUAACAAGGUAUC